This is a long non-coding RNA of Pezoporus flaviventris, 2145 nucleotides long. RefSeq lists it as uncharacterized. The record is from RefSeq and is a predicted model, not a curated record. NCBI's taxonomy places the organism in Eukaryota, Metazoa, Chordata, Aves, Psittaciformes, Psittacidae. The transcript is spliced from 4 exons.
GUUGGGUUGUUUUGCAGUGAUUGUAAUUUUUCCUCCAUGGCACCAUGAAAGCUCCUGGUAGUGCAACCUGGAUACCAGCAUCAGACAUGUAGGUUUUGAAUGCUUAUGGGUAUGUGAAUGGAGACCAUUGUACAUAAGGACAUGCAGUAGUGCCCAGGUACUCCUUGGCUAUAAAGAAACAUUUGUGCAGUGGCAGCUGAACCACGGAGAUGGUAGAAGCCUCCUGCUUUGGGCAGAGAAGUGCAGGAUGUCUGUCUGUCUCUUUGACUACUGACUGCAAGGACCUGAAGUGGGCAGAGCCUUCUCCAGCCCCACAAGCAGCAAUUACACAGUGCUUGGAACACCUGUACUGAAGAGAGAGAAAAUUUUCCUCAGUUUCUGUCUUUGUGUCUUCUUUUCACUAAUGGUGGAGAGGAUCCUCUUUGAAGCAGCAUCAGAUAUGAAAAAUAAUGUCAGCAUGAAAAACUAGUAUCGGCUUGUCCUUCUGGUUAAGAAUCAUGCAACAUCCAUAGACUCUUAUCAAGAGAGGAAUAAUAUGGUGCAAGAACUUAUGUCAGCAAGGAUAAAUAAUUUAAAGAAAAGGUGUGAACAUGGAAGGAAUAACCUGAUGACUUGAAGCAGUUUUGAUCUUGCAUGAAGGCAGAGCUGUAAUACAUAAUGUACAGUGAACCUGGGCUGGGUUCAUGGCAUAUUCCAGAGGAUAUUUUAGAAGGCAUUUUAUCUCACUACCUCUUGUUUGAUGAUUUGACCAAUAAUAUUUUCAACAGCUUCUGGGUGGUGAGGCUGCUUCUAUCUCUUCCUUUGUACCCUAUGUUAAAGACCCUGCCCCUUGCUUACAACUGGGGAGGCAGGAGAAAAAUACGUUAUAAGAAACCAUUGUGCAAAAAGCAUUAGGAAGAAGUAACAGGUUGUAACAGUAUGGAUCAUACUUUGGCAUAGCCAGAAACCUCGUUCAUCAUUAGGGAAUCACUGACCUUUCGUAGUGGUGAAUUCUCCCUGCAGGAGAUGGGCCUUCAUCUGUUGGUUAAAACUCAUGUUGUAACCUAAAAACUUUAACAUUAAAUAACUGAAAUACACUUACAGUACUGGAAUGACUGAAUCACAAACAAACAAAUGAGCAAAGAAAGACUCCAAAGCUUUCCAGAUGGCUGUUUCCCACUGAUGUACAUUUUUUUCUCCGGAGCUUCAAAACAUGUUUAAAUUAUGAAAUUUGGUGUGAUUACAAGAACUUGGCAAGCAGUCAUUAAGGUUUUAGUCUGAGGAGUGUUACUACAGAGUUAGAGAACUGCAGAUGAGCAAUGGCGGUGUCCUUGUGUGUGCACAGCAUUGUCAGCGUGGGUUGUAGGGAAUGGGACUAUGGCUCCCAGAGUCUGAGUUUUCCAUGUGCCACAAUCCUGCUGCUUCCCUGGGCCAAAUCCAUCCUUGAGUUGCUGAAACUGGUGAUAUUGUACCAGUAACUUAUUUGACUUUCUUUGCUCAAAACCGCUUGCUUACCAUCUCUUGCACUUCUUCUCCAGCCUUCUGCAAAGCCAGGUGACUUGCUACAUCUCCUCUGCUCCUGGCAGGGCUUGGAGAAGCAAUGCAGCCAGUGAGUACCUUGGCUUUGCUGCUGCAAAUCCCUUUGUGCUGCUGGGGCAGACGUACUGCUCCACAGGCAGAGCCCCUUCCUUUGUCUGGGCCAUCAGAAUGAUGGGGAAGGCUUGUGGUGGGCGGUCUGGAGUGGAAGACAGCAGUAAUAACAGGUGGUAGUAUGGAUAGUGAGGAGUGGAGAUUAAGAUAAAAGGAAACAAAUACUAUUUUUUUUACUAUGUUUUGAAUAUAUUCUGAGGCUGGAAAUGCUGAGUUUUCAGUUCAAGCAAUCUCGCACCCUCCAUUCAACCUGGGUUCAAGUUGUCAAGCUGGAAAAAGUAUUGCACUCCAAGCGCAGGGGAAGCACACCCCACUGGGGCAAUGCUGGGGAUGAAGAUUGGAGAUGUGCCUCUCAAGCAGAUUCAUACCUGAGAGAAGCUGGAAUCUUCCUUUGCAUCUCAGUUCCUCCUGGCUGCAAGCACAAGAGCCUCUCUCUAUCUCCUUCAGGCCCACCCACUGGCAGCUCUUUAGGGUUAGGGAAUAAAGUACUGGUACACAGCCCAAGGAGAAAGCCAG